CGAGCGGAAUUAUUUGGAUAGCUUGCUAUUUGGAUAAGUUAGCGGCGGACGGGUGAGUAACACGUGGGUAAUCUGCCUCGUAGACUGGGAUAACAGGCCGGAAGGUUUGCUAAUACCGGAUGAGUUCAUGUUUAUGCAUAUAGGCAUGAAGAAAGGGGAAACCCGCUAUGAGAUGAGCCCGCGCCCCAUUAGCUAGUUGGUAGGGUAAAAGCCUACCAAGGCGACGAUGGGUAGCCGGCCUGAGAGGGUGGACGGCCACACUGGGACUGAGACACGGCCCAGACUCCUACGGGGGGCAGCAGUAGGGAAUUUUCGGCAAUGGGCGAAAGCCUGACCGAGCGACGCCGCGUGAGGGACGAAGGCCUUCGGGUUGUAAACCUCUGUCUGGGGGGACGAGAACGGACGGUACCCCCGGAGGAAGCCCCGGCUAACUACGUGCCAGCAGCCGCGGUAAUACGUAGGGGGCGAGCGUUGUCCGGAAUUACUGGGCGUAAAGGGCGCGCAGGCGGUCAUGCAAGUCGGUUGUGAAAGUCUAGGGCUUAACUCUAGGAUGCCGGCCGAAACUGUAUGGCUUGAGGGCAAGAGAGGGAGGCGGAAUUCCCGGUGU
This 607-nucleotide ribosomal RNA is filed under the name uncultured bacterium. Its description in RNAcentral is "bacterial SSU rRNA". It matches the Rfam family "Bacterial small subunit ribosomal RNA", at positions 63 to 676 of the family's 1533-position model. The record is from RNAcentral.